Molecule: long non-coding RNA, 1913 nt
Filed under: Citrus maxima (pomelo)
Lineage: Eukaryota; Viridiplantae; Streptophyta; Magnoliopsida; Sapindales; Rutaceae
Description: long non-coding RNA (CMAX_LNC001140)
Source: RNAcentral
GUUUGGUAUCUCUUCUGCUGACACCGUUGCUCAUUCUUACAUGGAUGAUGUUAUUGCCCUCGUUCUUGGUAGCUUUAUUCUUGCUCUUGCCGUUGAGCACUACAACAUUCACAAAAGAUUGGCCUUAAAUGUAAGUUCCCGUAAUGCAUCAUCAUCAUCAUGUCAUUAAUUGUUACGAUUUCUUUUUCAGAAAAAUUAUCAGUGACAAAAGAUGAAUUAAUUAUGUAUGGACAAUCCUAUACCAUAUAAUAUAUAUUAAUAACUACAGAUAACUAUUCUAUUCUGUGGAGAGCCAAUGAAUCCGCCCUUGCUGCUUCUUGGGAUAUGUGGCACGACAGCAUUCGUGAGCAUGUGGAUGCAUAACGUGGCAGCAGCAGUGAUCAUGAUGCCAGUGGCCACUGGGAUCUUACAGAACUUGCCAGAGGUUCCUCUUCAAUCAACCCUUGUUAGGAAGUAUUGCAAAGCUGUGGUGCUCGGGGUCAUCUACUCUGCAGCCGUAGGAGGGAUGAGCACACUUACUGGAACAGGUGUUAAUCUAAUAUUGGUCGGGAUGUGGAAGACCUAUUUUCCAGAAGCAAACCCGAUCAGCUUCAGUACCUGGUUCUGUUUUGGGUUCCCUUUGGCUUUAGUGAUUUUCGUUGCUUUGUGGGCUAUUUUGUGCUUGUUCUAUUGUUCAAGGGGAUCUGGACCUGCUCUCUCCGAGUAUUUGGACAAAGCAAAUCUCAAGAGAGAGCUUGACAUGUUAGGUAAGACCCUGCUGUCUGUCCAAUUAAAUGACAGCUACAGCUAAUUAAUGUUCAGUGGCUUAAUUCCAUUGUUUGGUGUUUUUCUUGGCAGGUCCAAUGGCUUUUGCUGAAAAGAUGGUACUAGCUGUAUUUGGGGUGAGCUGAGCUGUAAUUUUUUUUUUUCUCCCCUUUUAAGUGAUGUGCAUAAUGUUAUUGGAAAUGUCUUCAAGUUAAUUUAAGAAAAAUGAUGCAGAUGCUAAUAGCAUUGUGGAUGACAAGAUCAAUAACAGAUGACAUUCCAGGUUGGGGAGCACUCUUCAAUGACCGUGCUGGUGAUGGAACUGCUAGUGUGAGUACUCUUUGGUCCUUUGUUUAUCAUUUGAGAACAUAAUUAAAUGAGGCAUGUUUAAUCAAGCUUUUGGAUGAUUUUUAACUGAAUUAUUAAUACAUAUGUAUACACACACACACACACACAAAUAUAGGUUGUGAUGGCAACAUUGUUGUUCAUAAUUCCGAGCAUGAAGCAAAAAGGAGAAAAAUUGAUGGAUUGGAACAAAUGCAAGAAGCUACCUUGGAACAUUAUAUUGCUUUUAGGGGCUGGCUUUGCUAUAGCCGAUGGAGUCAGGACUAGCGGUCUUGCUGAUGAUCUGUCAAAAGCAUUGGAUUUCCUGGAGGCGGCGCCAUAUUUAGCCAUUGCACCUAUCGUAUGUCUGAUUAGCGCGAUUAUUACUGAAUUCACAUCAAAUAAUGCCACAACAACUCUCGUUCUUCCACUUCUGAUCCAAAUAGCAAAAACUAUGCAUGUUCAUCCAUUGCUUCUUAUGGUUCCUGGAGCAAUUGGAGCACAAUUUUCUUUCUUGUUGCCGACUGGAACCCCUUCAAAUAUUGUUGGAUUCACAACCGGGCACAUCGAAAUUCAAGAUAUGAUCAAGACAGGGCUGCCCCUUAAGAUUGCUGGCAUUGCUGCUAUGGCCUGUCUAAUGCCUACACUUGGUAAAUAAUCUUACCGCGACAUUAAUUGUUUACUGUUUCUUGAUACAAGUGUAUUGACAAAUUUUGGAUAUUGCAGGUGCUUAUGUUUUUGGGACAGAUGGGGAUGUUCAGUAGCUGCAAACUCUUGUAAACUGUGGAGGUUUCUCUCAAUCAAGUCUCCGUAACAGGCAUUGGGGGACCCUGAAUAGGAAUUAU